Molecule: ribosomal RNA, 446 nt
Filed under: Monoplatus sp. group BMNH 835474
Lineage: Eukaryota; Metazoa; Arthropoda; Insecta; Coleoptera; Chrysomelidae
Description: partial 16S ribosomal RNA
Source: RNAcentral
UAUAAAUUUUAAAGUCUUGCCUGCCCACUGAUAUUUUAAAUGGCCGCGGUAUUUUGACUGUGCUAAGGUAGCAUAAUCAUUAGUUUCUUAAUUAGAAGCUGGAAUGAAGGGUUGGAUGGGGAAAUAACUGUCUCAUUUUUAUUUAUUUAUAAAUUUAUUUUUAAGUUAAAAAGCUUAAAUUAAUUUUAAAGACGAGAAGACCCUAUAGAGUUUUAUUUAAAUUUAUUUAAUAUUUUUAGUUAAUUUAUUUAUUUUAAUUUAAUUUUUAAAUUUUGUUGGGGUGAUAGAAAAAUUUAAAAAACUUUUUUUUUAUUUAGAUAUAAAUUUAUAGGUUAAUGAUCCAAUAGUUUUGAUUAUAAGAUUAAAUUACCUUAGGGAUAACAGCGUAAUUUUAUUAGAGAGUUCUAAUCGAAAAUAAAGAUUGCGACCUCGAUGUUGGAUUAAAA